AGGAAGGGAUGAUCCUUUAGGCUGGUGCUGAUGCGACGAAGGCGACAGCGAUGCACUUUCACCCACAUGAAGCAACAGCCGACGACACAGGGAUGGUACUGCUGCAGUGAAGGGAGGAAAAGUGCUGUCCCAAAACAAGUCUGGAAGGCUGGAGGAAUGGUGUCGCCCCAAAAGCAAUUCAGGAGUCUUAUUGGAUCUGUAUCCAGUUUGGUUGACUGUGAAACGUUUAGCACUUUGCUAGUUAUCGGUCAUGGAAUAAGUAGGCUUGUUUUCUUC
RNAcentral lists this long non-coding RNA (276 nucleotides) under Setaria italica (foxtail millet). Its description in RNAcentral is "long non-coding RNA (SITA_LNC000230)". Lineage: Eukaryota; Viridiplantae; Streptophyta; Magnoliopsida; Poales; Poaceae. The record is from RNAcentral.